Molecule: ribosomal RNA, 252 nt
Filed under: uncultured bacterium
Lineage: Bacteria
Description: partial 16S ribosomal RNA
Rfam family: Bacterial small subunit ribosomal RNA
Source: RNAcentral
UACGAAGGGGGCUAGCGUUGUUCGGAAUCACUGGGCGUAAAGGGCGCGUAGGCGGCUCAUGAAGGCUGUGGUGAAAGUCCGGGGCUCAACCUCGGAUCGGCCGUGGCGACUCGUGGGCUGGAGCACUGUAGAGGCGGGUGGAAUUCCGGGUGUAGCGGUGGAAUGCGUAGAGAUCCGGAAGAACACCAGUGGCGAAGGCGGCCCGCUGGGCAGUGGCUGACGCUGAAGCGCGACAGCGUGGGAGCAAACAGG